UACAGAGGGUGCGAGCGUUAAUCGGAAUUACUGGGCGUAAAGAGCGCGUAGGCGGUUUUAUAAGUCAGAUGUGAAAGACCCGGGCUUAACCUGGGAAUUGCAUUUGAUACUGUAAGACUAGAGUAUGGUAGAGGAAAGUGGAAUUUCCGGUGUAGCGGUGAAAUGCGUAGAUACCGGAAGGAACACCAGUGGCGAAGGCGACUUUCUGGACCAAUACUGACGCUGAGGCGCGAAAGCGUGGGGAGCAAACAGG
This 253-nucleotide ribosomal RNA is filed under the name uncultured bacterium. Its description in RNAcentral is "partial 16S ribosomal RNA". It matches the Rfam family "Bacterial small subunit ribosomal RNA", at positions 524 to 776 of the family's 1533-position model. The record is from RNAcentral.